CUUAACCAUUCAAGGUCAAUACCUAACCUUAACCAUUCAAGGUCAAUGCCUAACCUUAACCAUUCAAGGUCAAUACCUUACCUUAACCAUUCAAGGUCAAUGCCUAACCUUAACCAUUCAAGGUCACUGCCUAACAUUAACUAUCCAAGGUCAAUGCCUAACCUUAACUAUUCAAGGUCAAUGCCUAACUUUAACCAUCUCGCAAGAGUUUCACAAUUUGCAUGUUACCUUCUAGACCUUGAAAAUUUGAUCUGAUGGUGAAUUUAGAUAAAAGAUCAGAGGAUCUCCAAAGUUAUUAGAAUACAUGUGUGGAUCAUGAAUGUACUACAUUUUUGCCAAUCUGAUUGUUGUUGAUGUAUUUCAGUGGUGGUGGACCGACCAACCAACCAACAUCGCAAAAAUGAAUAGAGACGUGUUGCUAACAUGCUAAAAAUGUAUUUUUUCAUGCAACUAAAUAGAAUAAUUUCUCACUUGAUACCUCUGCCCCAGAUGUGUUGAAAGUUAUGUGCCUUUUACAAGAGUAGAUUAGAAUAAUGUAAUAGAUUAACAGGGUGCUGUCAUCUCCUCAACCACUGACUACCGUGUCUAACUUGAAUUCAGUCUUUGUUGUCGUGAGUGCCACUAUGACGGACUGUUGGUUGACCCGUGCAACGGUUUGAUAUUUGCUCCAUUUCAUCUGUUUUGACAGACCAGAUGCGACAUUUGAUAAUAAAAAGCUUCAUCUCUGGACUUGCUUUCAAUAUUGAUUGUGUUUUGUACCAGUCUAUGCGACCAUCUAUGAAUAAUAAAGACUCUGCGGUUAAUUGUG
Sebastes umbrosus (honeycomb rockfish) is the source of this 808-nucleotide long non-coding RNA. RefSeq lists it as uncharacterized. The transcript has 2 exons. Lineage: Eukaryota; Metazoa; Chordata; Actinopteri; Perciformes; Sebastidae. The record is from RefSeq and is a predicted model, not a curated record.